This 17455-nucleotide long non-coding RNA is filed under the name Citrus sinensis (sweet orange). RNAcentral describes it as "long non-coding RNA (CSIN_LNC002714)". Lineage: Eukaryota; Viridiplantae; Streptophyta; Magnoliopsida; Sapindales; Rutaceae. The record is from RNAcentral.
CUCUCAGAACAUUUAUUAUUUGAAAGAUCAGCCUCAUGACCAAACUUUUCACUCUCCUCUGCGCUCUCUUGUAGCUGAAAUGCAAACUCUAGAUCACGAAUCACAUCACUCAUGGAUGGCCUUUGGGCUCCGUCAUCAUUCAAGCAUCUAAUUGCAACCUCAGCAAAUUUGUUCAAGCUUUCAUUUGAUAUCUUACCCUUCAAAAGCGGAUCAACAAUCUCAUCAAUGGUUCCAUUGCGAUAACAUUGUUCAGCCCAAACAGCUAAACUCGCUUGAUUCCUUUCCAUUGUCCGAAUAAUAGGUGGUCGAGCGCACAAUGCUUCCAAUAACACAACGCCAAAUGAGUAGACAUCGGAUUUUUCCGUUAGCUGCUGAAGUCGAUAAUACUCAGGAUCUAAGUACCCGAUGCUCCCCUUCACUAUAGUACUGACAUGAGUUUUGGACAUGGAAUUGGGUCCAAAUUUGGACAGUCCAAAAUCAGAAACCUUGGCCACCCAUUUCUCAUCCAACAAGAUAUUCGUUGUCUUCACAUCCCGAUGAAUGAUAACUUGCUUCGCCCCAGUAUGCAGAUACUGCAGCCCACGAGCCGCGCCUAUGCAAAUGCCAAGCCGUUGACUCCAUGGAAGAGGAGGAUUAUUGCUGUCAUAGAGAUGAUCCCGUAGCGUCCCACGAGCCAUGAAAUCGUACACAAGGAUCAUCUCCCCGUCAUCAUUGCAGUAACCAAUGAGAGUGACCAAAUGAAUGUGUAUUAGUUGGGAGAGCAUCUCUAUCUCUGUCUGGAAUUCCAGUGCACCCUGUUGUGACCCUGGAAUCAGCCGUUUGAUCGCAACAGGAGUGGCGCCACCGUUGAUAAACCCUUUGUAUACGUUACCAAAUCCUCCAACUCCAAUAAUGAGACCAGCAUCAAAGUUGUUUGUUGCUGCUUUGAUUUCGGAUAGUGAAAAGUGAGUACAGAGAUCGGACGUUAGAGAUGAGCCACGAGACUUCCUUGAAUUUGUCUUAGAAGUAGAAAAACGUCUCCAGAAAAAAAUUGAAAGAGAAAUUGCAACAAAACCUGACAUAAGUCCACCGACAAUGGAAAUUGUAGUUGCCAUGAUAUUCUUGGAUUUCCUUGAUUGUGAGCUUGGCAUUUCCUGUGGCACAAUGGAAGGUUCGUUAUUCCGAGUUUCGCUGAUCAGAGGUUCAGGAUUAGAUCCGGCAAGAUUUCCAUAGUUGUCCACUUUAAAAAUUUCAAUCCCGUUCAAGAUAGAAUCAGAAUACUUGGUCCUCCGUCGGGGAGCAGGGUGUAGUGCAACAGAGAGAUUCUGCUUCUUUUCAUUUCCUUUUGCUCCAAUAAUUACUGCAUAGUCUCUGUAGAUGGGAACGCCGUUUGCUCCACCCCAAAUUAUGAUGUCUGCUUCAGCUCCUGCAAUUAGAUUAGCUACAUAGAUCCGGAACACUCUGUCGCCGGGCUUUGUUACCUCUUGCUGAAACUCGCAAAAAUGAAGCCUGAGAAAAUAUGUGAACCCAGAAUCCACUUGAAACUCCCAAGUGAGACUAUACUCCUCGUUUUUUAUCCUAUCAUUGCCCAUUGACCUGCAGCUUUUGUAGACAACAGCCGGAGCAGUGUAAUUAUUUAUUUUGCUAAAUUGGAGGACAACACUAAUGUUAAACGCAAGAGCACUGGGUCUGGCAUCUGUCAAGUAGUCGUCAUCCCUACUCCAGGUUCGAAACAUGCCUGUGUCAUCCAGCUGUGAAAUCGGAUUCCCACCAACAUUUAUUCGGUAUAACGUCUCGAGGGAAGUACUGUUUAUGAUUCCGUAUUGGUUCCCCUGGCCAACGAACUCGAAACCUGGGUCAUUGGCGGCUGUAUAAUAAAGAUUCGGUGGCAUGGAUACUAUUUCAAUUCCGUUGAUGAAAGCAUAUGAAUCUUUGUAAUCUGGACUUGCCAUGAGCGUUAUGUUCAAGAACCUCUGACCUUCUUCGACGUUAAUGCAAAAUUCUUUGAAAAACAAAUCCUUGCCCAAAGCAUCGGCUGUGAGUGAAGCACUGAAGUUGCUAAGAAGGGUAAAAGAACCGGCUUUAACGGAGAAGAAAGCUUUAGAACUGUUAAAACCUGAAUAUGAGGUUGAAUAGAAAUACAGACGGAUGAAUUUUUGACCCGCGGUGAGGUUGAAUGUGUAGGUGAACUGCGACUGAGAAAGCCGUACUGCUGAAUACGGGGGCUGCUGAGGAGCGGUGAAGGUUCUUGAUGCCUCAUUUUCCGGCUCCGAGGGCGAGUAUUCAGAGUUUAUAUCUCCAAUCCAGGUUCGGUAAUCUAGAGUACCGGAGGAGCCAGUCGAGCCACAAGCAAGAAAUAUGCUCUCUGUGGGUUUGUAAAGAGUGACUGAGUCAUCGGAGAAGGCGAAAGCCAUUGGGUGGAUGAAGAAUAAGAUGUAAAAUGGGGUGAGACAACUGCUGCCAGUGUCCUCCAUGAUGGUUACUGAGAUCUAACAGGCUAAAACAUUUGCAGAUUUUACUGAAAAUCAUGCGCUAAACGCAUGAGUAAAACGCGUCAAUGCUCAGCCGCCCUUAACGAAAGGUAGAAGUUGGUGGGUCUUGGUCUUUGGCAACUGGCAAUUUGGCAUCACUCAUAAAGAAUUUUUUUUUUUUAAUCACAAUGACAUUUGAAAUACCAAUACGUAUUAGCGAGCUAUUACAUCAAUUUAUUAAGCCAAAGGUUACAAUCUAUUAUGACCAUAUAUUUUUUUAAUUACAGUUUCAUUUUUAAACAUAUACCUCUUAAAAUUCUAGAAUGGAGUGCUAGUUUAAGAACUAACGUGAAUACGAACUUUAUUUAAUUUUUGAAGGGGGAAAAAAAGGCAAACAGUGUUUAUGAUAGACAUCAAGAUCGAUAUAAUCCACCAUAGUAUACUUAUAAGCAAACAAUUAACAUCUUAUGACCAUGACCAUUGACCAGGAGUGUAUAGUAGUUCAUAAGGAUACUUUCAUAGUGAAUAUACCUUGCCUCCAGUAACUGUGUUCACAAUAGACUAGGGUUAUAAUUGGAACACUCCUCCUGCUCUCUUCCCUCUCUAUUUACCUCCUUCAGCUCUUUGAGCUCACCCUUGACUGCCAUAGUUGGCUCCAUGAGAGAUGCUCCGCACAAUUCGGUUUAUAGUCUAAUUAACUUUCUUUAAGUUGAAUCUCGGAAACUUAAGAUCUGAAAGAACCUCACUGCACAACGAACAAAAAUAUAUUUUAAAAAAACUAAUUAAAAUAUUAACCAAACUUUAGUUUAAAAAAAUAAAUAAAAUUAUUUUGUAAUCAACAAAGUGUCAUCAUGAUGUGGUGCCAUGGUUCCGGUGGUCCUUUUGUAAUCAAACAUUCUGGUCUUGCCUUAACAUUUCACCUCUCAUAGAACCACUUCUUUUGGAGCUGCCGGAAUACACUCCGCUUCCUCUUCCCCAAUCUAAUGCCCCCCUCAACCCUCGGAGUUAAACGAAAUCCUUUAUUUUAUAAGACUAAGCUCUUUGAAAAGUUCACCAUAUCUAGUGUAACUUCAUUAUCACCAAUCUCGAGAUGUUUAAAAGCCAGUUCAUUAAGGUCAUAAGAAACCAGCUCUCCACUAAUCACUAACAUUCCAAAGUCACUGUUUGAGGAAUUAAAUAGAGCGACCAUAAUCUCCUCCAAGUGAAAGUGAGCAAAUGGUUGAGCAGGUCACCUUGACUAGGUGGUAUGAGCUUGAGCAGAUCACCUCGACCAGGUACAAUGAGGUUGAGCAGAUCGCCUUGACCAGGUGGUGUGAGCUUGAGCAGAUGACCAUGUGGUAUGAGCUUGAGCAAAUCACCUCGACCAGGUGCUAUGAGCUUGAGUAGAUCACAUCGACCAGGUGCUAUGAGAUAGAGCAGAUCACCUCGACCAGGUGCUAUGAGCUUGAGCAAAUCACAUCGACCAGGUGCUAUGAGGUGGAGCAGACCACCUCGACCAGGUGCUAUGAGCUCGAGCAAAUCACCUUGACCAGGUGCUAUGAGCUCGAGCAGAUCACCUCGACCAGGUGGUCUAAACUUGAGCAGAUCACCUCGACCAGGUGAUGACCAGGAAUAAAGACUCAGUUAAAAUAAACCACCACAAAGCUCUUCCAAAAAAGCAGGGCACGAAUUUGAUCAAUUAAUGGUUAUUGUCACGAUCUAAGGUCGUGGGUGUGAGGUGUUUUAUAAAGACCCCGAGAAAACCACGCGGAGAGGGAGGGCUCUUUUUCCCUUGAUCUGACUGAGAAAUUCUUUCUGGAGACUCUACUUUACUUUUCUGCAAAUUAUUCAAAAAGCUUUCAGUUUUAAGGCAAUGUUUAUCAAGCCAUAUGAGAAAUGGCAUAUUUGGUUUUUCCUUUAAAUCCCAUUACUGACUUGAGCGUCGGAGGGUUUAAGCGGGAAAAACUUCCAGCACCUCUGACCAUUCUCUGUAAUUUCAGGUACUUAUUGAUCGUCAGCUUGAAGAUUAUAUGCUCAUGAAUGUUCUGCUCAUAGUUAGAGAAUAUUCUUGGAGAUCAACCAACAGCUUCCCACCAACAAAUUUAAUGCUGAUGCAGGGAUCUGAAACUGAGUCACUAACCAAUUGGUUCAGAUUUCGGCAUCAACAGUCACUAUUGUUGACAAUGCCUAAUGGCCUUACAAUUCUUUCCUCUGGCACAAUCGAGUAUUGUUUAGUCCAAGACUCCACCAUGCCAUACUCCCUCAUCACCCAAAUGUAACAGCCCUCGAUUAGUCUAAGAUUGCUGAUGCUGCAAACAAUCAGGGCAAGUGAUUCUCUUAACACGGCCACAGAAACUUGAGGGCUUUCUCCUUAGCCAUCUUCAUGAUACAUUGGAAGCAUUAUCUCUCCAAACUUCUCAGAAUCAAAAUCAAACAACAUGACAACAUUUGCAGAGGAUUCUUCUCCGGUCUUAGAGGCAAACCAAUGGACAGCUCCAUUGAGAAAUGCUGAUGAAAAUUUAUCAUUUGCAUAGUAUCCAUCAUUAUUUCCAAUUGUUCUCCAUGAAUUCGUUGCUAGUGAAUAUACCUCAACUCUUGGUGGUUUUUUUUCAACAUAUAAUGGCAUAUAAACAUCUCCAAAAUACAUUAUCCUUACAUUAUUUGAGGAUGAUUAUUUGGAAAAUGGAUUAAUUUGAGGAUUAUUAUUAUUUUUUUUUUUUGGAAAUGGAUUAUUUUGCUGAUGANNNNNNNNNNNNNNNNNNNNNNNNNNNNNNNNNNNNNNNNNNNNNNNNNNNNNNNNNNNNNNNNNNNNNNNNNNNNNNNNNNNNNNNNNNNNNNNNNNNNNNNNNNNNNNNNNNNNNNNNNNNNNNNNNNNNNNNNNNNNNNNNNNNNNNNNNNNNNNNNNNNNNNNNNNNNNNNNNNNNNNNNNNNNNNNNNNNNNNNNNNNNNNNNNNNNNNNNNNNNNNNUGAUUUUUACAGCUUAAGUAAAUAAUUUAUUCUAAUUGUCAUUCCCUAUUCCGAUUCAAGUUUAUUCCGAUUCUAGGCCAUUCCGAUUACUGACAAAUAAACGCAGUAUUUAUUGCUAACAAGUGGCAUAAUUAAAGAGGAAUUAAAAUAUUUAUAUCAUCUUAUAGUUAUCGUUUCAGUUUUGAUUUUAAAUGAUUAGGAAAUAGAUGACUGGAUACUUAAAGAAGAGUUAGAACAUUUUUAUUUUAUGUAUAGUACUUGAAAUUUCUCUACUGACUGUAUCUUCAACUUGUUCAUGUGCAUAUAGCACUACAGCUGGUAGAAACUAUAUAUGACUAAAGCUGGGCUUUAGUUUACUUGAAACGUUAGGAAACUAAAUGUUUAAAUUUAUAUUUAAAAAAAAUGAUGCAAGAUUUAAAAAGUUAAACAUUACCUCAAAUGCAUAGGUUUUAAUAUUUUUCUGAGUGUCACGCGCAUAAGUCAUAACCAUGCGCAUUAACUGUCACUACCGCAAAAGUUGCUGCCACAGAAGAUACUAGAAUCUUUGACGCAAAAUUAAUCACUUCAAUCUUAAAUAUAGCUGAGCCGAUGAUACAUAUACCUCAUCAAAUACUGAGGUGGAUUUAAAAUAUCAUGGACAUACUGCAAUUUAUGUGAGAUAUGAACUUAACAUAAUACAUGGGAGUUUGAACAUGGGACCAUACCAAACGUGUGGGGAAAUAUAAAACAUCUGGCGAUAAAAGGGGCCUUAAUUUAGGGACUAACAAGAUAAUCUUUAAAUGGUAUAAAAUUAAUCCGUGCAAAAUAAUUUGCAAAUGCCAUCACCAACUGUUUGGAUGUGAUUGUGGGAUGAGAUCUUGUCAUUAGCGAAGACUUGUACAAGUCGUCAGCAGAAAGGGCAGAAGUUGUUUUCAAUUUUCAAUGCCUUAUUUUGUCGUCCUUUCUCUGUUUUUAAACCUUUCCAACUUGACUUUUGAACAAGUGGAAGCCGUGUUUUUUUUUUUUGCCCUUUUCCUUCCUCCUCUACUAAUAACCAAACAAAACAGUUACUAACAGUUUGAACAGCAUUUUCGUUUCUACAAAUUUAAAAUUACCCUGAAAAUUUUGAUACUGAAUGCAUGCAUGCAUUCGGAAAUACAUAACAACUGAAUUUAAUUAGUUCAGAUUGGAAAAUAUCAUUCAAAAAUAUAAUUAGAUAAAACUUAAUAUUUAUUCUACUUCACCUGUUCACCAUUCACAAUGUUUAUAUAACAAGUGGUUCGAUGUCUUGGAUUUAGAAAGCAAGCAAUAUUUCAUGAUCCCAUCAUCUCCCUUGUGGGUCAAUGAUCUCAGAGAAGGCAUCUCUACAGAGGGAUCCGCUCUCAGAACAUUUAUUAUUUGAAAGACCCGCCUCAUGACCAAACUUUUCACUCUCCUCUGCGCUCUCCUGUAGCUGAAAUGCAAACUCUAGACCACGAACCACAUCACUCAUGGAUGGCCUUUGGGCUCCAUCAUCAUUCAAGCAGCUAAUUGCGACCUCAGCAAAUUUGUUCAAGCUUUCAGUUGUUAUCUUACCUUUCAAAAGCGAAUCAACAAUCUCAUCAAUGGCUCCAUUGCGAUAACAUUGUUCACCCCAAACAGCUAAACUCACUUGAUUCCUGUCCAUUGUCCGAAUAAUAGGUGGUCGAGCGCACAAUGCUUCCAAUAACACGACGCCAAAUGAGUAGACGUCGGAUUUUUCUGUUAGCUGCUGAAGUCGAUAAUACUCAGGAUCUAAGUACCCGAUGCUCCCCUUCACUAUAGUACUGACAUGAGUUUUGGACAUGGAAUUGGGUCCAAAUUUGGACAGUCCAAAAUCAGAAACCUUGGCCACCCAUUUCUCAUCCAACAAGAUAUUCGUUGUCUUCACAUCCCGAUGAAUGAUAACUUGCUUCGCCCCAGUAUGCAGAUACUGCAGCCCACGAGCCGCGCCUAUGCAAAUGCCAAGCCGUUGACUCCAUGGAAGAGGAGGAUUAUUGCUGUCAUAGAGAUGAUCCCGUAGCGUCCCACGAGCCAUGAAAUCGUACACAAGAAUCAUCUCCCCGUCAUCAUUGCAGUAACCAAUGAGAGUGACCAAAUGAAUGUGUAUUAGUUGGGAGAGCAUCUCUAUCUCUGUCUGGAAUUCCAGGGCACCCUGUUGUGACCCUGGAAUCAGCCGUUUGAUCGCAACAGGAGUGGCGCCACCGUUGAUGUACCCUUUGUAUACAUUACCAAACCCUCCAACUCCAAUAAUGAGACCAGUAUCGAAGUUGUUUGUAGCUGCUUUGAUUUCGGAUAGUGAAAAGUGAGUACAGAGAUCGGACGUUAGACAAGAGCCAUGAGACUUCGCUGACUUUGUCUUAGAAGUAGAAAACCGUCUCCAGAAAAAAAUUAAAAGAGAAAUUGCAACAAAACCUGACACAAGUCCACCAACGAUGGGAAUUGUAGUUGCGCUCUUACUAUUGGAUUUCCUUGAUUGUGAGCUUCGCAUUUGCUGUGGCACAGUGGAAGGUUCGUUAUUCCGAGUUUCGCUGAUCAGAGGUUCAGGAUUUGAUCCGGCAAGAUUUCCAUUUUUGUCCACUUUAAAAAUUUCAAUCCCGUUCAAGAAAGAAGAAUAAUUGGUCCUCCGUCGGGGAGCAGGGUGUAGUGCAACAGAGAGAUUCUGCUUCUUUUCAUUUCCUUUUGCUCCAAUCAUCACUGCAUAGUCUCUGUAGAUGGGAACGCCAUUUUCUCCACCCCAAUAUAUGAUGUCUGCUUGAGCUUCUGCAGUUAGAUUAGCUACGUAGAUCUGGAACACUCUGUCGCGGGGCUUUGUUACCUCUUGCUGAAACUCGCAAAAAUGAAGCCUGAGAAAAUAUGUGAACCGAGAAUCCACUUGAAACUCCCAAGUGAGACUAUACUUCUCGUUUUUUAUCAUAUCAUUCCCUAUUGACCUGCCGCUUUUGUAGACAACAGCCGGAGCAGAGUAAUUAUAUAUUCUGCCAAAUUUGAGGACAACACUAAUGUUAAACGCAAGAGCACUGGUUCUGGCAUCUGUCAAGUAGUCGUCAUCCGUACUCCAGGUUCGAAACAUGCCCGUGUCUUCCAGCGGUGAAAUCGGAUUCCCACCAACAUUUAUUCGGUAUAACGUCUCGAGGGCAGUGCUGUUUAUGAUUCUGUAUUGGUUACCCUGGCCAACAAACACGAAACCUGGGCCAUUGGCGGCUGUGUAAUAAAGAUUCGGUGGCAUGGAUACUAUUUCAAUUCCGUUGAUGAAAGCAUAUGAAUCUUUGUAAUCUGGACUUGCCAUGAGCGUUAUGUUCAAGAACCUCUGACCUUCUUCGACGUUAAUGCAAAAUUCUUUGAAAAACAAAUCCUUGCCCAAAGCAUCGGCUGUGAGUGAAGCACUGAAGUUGCUAAGAAGGGUAAAAGAACCGGCUUUAACGGAGAAGAAAGCUUUAGAACUGUUAAAACCUGAAUAUGAGGUUGAAUAGAAAUACAGACGGAUGAAUUUUUGACCCGCGGUGAGGUUGAAUGUGUAGGUGAACUGCGACUGAGAAAGCCGUACUGCUGAAUACGGGGGCUGCUGAGGAGCGGUGAAGGUUCUUGAUGCCUCAUUUUCCGGCUCCGAGGGCGAGUAUUCAGAGUUUAUAUCUCCAAUCCAGGUUCGGUAAUCUAGAGUACCGGAGGAGCCAGUCGAGCCACAGGCAAGAAAUAUGCUCUCUGUGGGUUUGUAAAGAGUGACUGAGUCAUCGGAGAAGGCGAAAGCCAUGGGGUGGAUGAAGAAUAAGAUGUAAAACGGGGUGAGAUAACUGCUGCCAGUGUCCUCCAUGAUGGUUACUGAGAUCUAGCAGGCUACAACAUUUGCAGAUUUUACUGAAAACCAUGGUCUAAACGCAUGAGUAAAAUGCGUCAAUGCUCAGCCGCCCUUAAACGAAAGGUAGAAGUUGGUCGGUCUUGAUCUUUGGCAAUUGGCAAUUUGGCAUCACUCAUAAAAGAAUUUUAUUUUAUUUUUAAUCACAAUGACAACGACAUUUGAAAUACCAAUACGUAUUAGGGAGCUAUUACAUUAAUUUAUUAAGGGUGUGUUUAAAAUUGAGGUGAUGUGUCUUUUAAACUAAAGAUGUAGAAAAAAAUUGUAAAUAUGAAAUUAAAAUUUGUAAUAUAUAGUAAAUGUAAAAUUUAAAUAAUAAUUUUGAUAAAAUUAUUAAGGAUGUAAUAAAUUUUUUAUUAUACAAGAGAAAAAUUAUAUCAACAUAGCUUCUAAGUUACAACAGUUAGUGUUUAUUAAACACUUUAAUACUUUAACUUUUAAAUUACAAUUGUCCAACUUCAAUUCCAAACGCACCUUAAGUCAAAUGUUACAAUAUAUUAUGACCAUAUAAUUUUUUAAUUACACUUUCAUUUUUAAACGUAUACCUCUUAAAAUUCUAGAAUGGAAUGUUAGUUUAAGAAUGGGUUAUUUUUAACCAGUACCCAAAUGUUUCAACAUUUUUUUAUCGUACACCCACUUGUUUUGACAACUAUCACCACGCACCCAAAACGUUAAAAUUCUAUGCUAGUUUAACGAUCAAAAGGGUAAAACAAGAAAUGCAAGUAUGUAAGAACUAAAAUAAUAAAAAUUAUAUUCAUUUCCUUCUCCGUUUUCCUUUCCUUUUUAAUUUUCUUCUCCAUUUCAAACGUAAAACAAAAACAAUGCAAGGGUAAUUUGUUGUUGCCGAAAUCCGAUGACCGGCAACAAGGGUUGUUCGCCUUUGUUCUCCUUUGCCCUCUUAAGUUUCACAAGCUGCAGCGUGGUCGCCGCAAGCGCAAGCAAUUUGGUGGCGAAAAUAGGUGGCGCACAAGAGUCGUGAGAUGCUGGUAACGGCAUCUUUAUUUGUUUUGUGGUUAUUUAUUUGGUAUAAUAAGUAUAUUGAAGUAUAAUCUCUACUAUAAAUUUGCUUUGUCCUCACUUGAAAAUAAGAUUUAUAUGGAGAUAUUGAAUUAAAUAAAAUUAUAAGCAAAUGGUUUAUUUGUUUAUUGUUUAGUUUUGUUAUAUUAUACUCUUAGAUUUGUAUUUUUAUUGUAAAUUUUGUAAAUUAGAAUGGGUAAUUUUGUAUCUGCACAACCAAAUCUAUUCAAUUUAAAGGUAUUUUAGUGUUUUCAAUAUAUAAUAGCUUAUGCCGUUUUACUUAACGGUAAAAAGUAACGGAAUGGAUGUGCAGUAAUACUUAUCAAAACAAUUGGGUGCACGGUAAAAUAUGUUGAAACAUUUGGGGGGGGGGGGGGGGAGGCAAACAGAGGUUAUGAUAGACAUCAAGAUCGAUAUAAUCCAUCACAGUAUACUUAUAAGCAAACAAUUAACAUCUUAUGACCAUGAUCAGGAGUGUAUAGUAGUUCAUAAGGAUACUUUCAUAGUGACUGUACCUUGCCUCCAGUAACUGUGCUCACAAUAGACUAGAGUUAUAAUUGGAACACUCCUCCUGCUCUCUCCCCUCUCUAUUUACCUCCUUCAGCUCUUUGAGCUCACCCUUGACUGCCAUAGUUGGCUCCAUGACAGAUGCUCCGCACAAUUCAGUUUAUAGUCUAAUUAACUUUCUUUAAGUUGAAUCUCAGAAACUUAAGAUCUGAAAGAACCUCACUGCACAGUGAACAAAAAUAUAUUUUAAAAAAACUAAUUAAAUUAUUAACCAAACUUUAGUUAAAAAAAAAAAUUAACAAUCCCGCAAAAAUAAUCUCAAUUGAGAGUAGUCAUCAAAUAACACUUCAACUAGAGUCUAUAGAAGUAGAAAAGUAAAAUAACGAUGUUAGGAGCUAGUGAUUAGUGAGGAUAAUAAUAAUAUUUUUAGAUUAAUGAUAAAUAAAAAUAAUGUUAAAUAAAAUGAAAAAAAUAAUAAGAAGAACCAAUGUAUAGUUAUACUUGACUGUAAUUCAAAAAACAAAUUGUAUACUUGACCGUUGGGACCCCUAUGGUUACAUCUUACCGGCGCGAAACUCUUGACCUCAACGGCCUGUUAUUGUGCAUUGAUUCAGGAUGGUAACUCAAUUUCAUUUACGGAUUUACCCUUAAGAAAAUAAAAAAACAGAUUAUUAAAUGCAGAGUGGGCCCUCUCCAACUUUCUUUGUAUUAAUAAUAGCCGUAAUAAAAAUACUCAUUACAGAAUUUUUUUCUGGGGAAAAAAAAAGACAACGCCUUGGCCCAGCUAAAGAGUAAGGUUCAGCGCCAAAAUAUUUAUUUAUCGACCUGGUUGCAUAAUAAGUACAUGAGUUGAUUUAGGGAGGAUGUUUCCUUUUAAUAAAAGGAAACAAAAUCAAAUUAAACAGGGCAUCGUUUAGGAAACCCUUCUCUAUUUAUACAUAUACUGUCCUAAUCGUCUGGUGCUCAUUAUCUCACAGAAUAUAAUCGUCCAUUACCAUGAUGCAAGAAAGAAGCCGCAUUCUUCCAGUGGGGUGCAAAUUCUUACCCUCUGAGGAGCAACUUGUUCAUUACUAUCUUUUCAACAAGAUUUCUGGAAUCCCCACUCCCUUUGUUGAAUAUUUUGUGAAAGAUGUAGAUCUUUACGAUUAUGAAGAACCCUGGGAUAUUUGGAAACAGUUCGGAGGACCCAAUUUAGAAGAUGGUGAGGAUCUUUACUUUUUCACUAACUUAAAGAAGAAGAGCAUUAAUGGUUCAAGAAUUAAUCGCAAGGUUGGUUCUGGUGCAUGGCAAGGGGAAGAUGCCGGCGAGCUAGUCCUGUCCCGCAACUCCAAUCGCCCAAUUGGUUCAAAGAAAAUAUUUCGAUAUGAGAACGACAACUUUCCACACAACCGUUGCUGGAUUAUGCAUGAAUACACUCUGAACGCUUCACUGUUGCCUCAGAACCAUCAUUCCAGCAGUGACUGUGUUCUCUGUCGACUUAGGAAGAAUGGUGGUCAGUCAGUGGGGAUCAAGGAUUCAAGGAAAAAGAUAAAGAAUGAUAAACAAGUUCAAGACAAUGAUCAUCAGCCAGCGGGGAAGUCAAAUUCAAGGAAAAGGGUAAAGUUUGAACACCAAGUUAAUGACAAUGAUCAGCCUGAUGAGCCUUUUGUUGAGAAUCACCAGAAUCAGUAUGUGCAAGAAAAUCAAUCGCAGCCCCUGAAUGAACGAAGUCCUCAUAAACUGCUUGAGUCCUCUGUUAAGAAUAACCCGGAAGAAAAACCACCAGUACCCAGGACUAAACAGACUCUUCUUGAACAAAUUGAGCAUUUAGCUGAGAAUGGAUAUCCAUCUACUUUUGAGGAGAAUCAACAACAGCCCAUGACUGAGCCAAAUCUUCAUAAUCAGCUUGAGCUUUCUCAGAAUCACCCGUUGAUGGAACAAACUCCAUCUUACCUUCUCAAGGGCCAAGAGGAAAAUCAUCAACUGGCCGUGACUGAACAGAAUCCUCAUCAUCUUGAGCUUUCCGACAAUCACCAGAAUAUGAAUCACACCUCGUCAUCUAACCUCGAAGAAAACCAACUUCCAGCAACUGAACAGUCGCAUGAUGAUGCUAUCUACUCUGAGCUUACUGAUAUUAAUUCUUGGGUCGUUCAUCAGCUUACCCGUAUUGACGAUGCUACCUACCCGCAUCUUGCUGAUGAUAAGUUUUUGGUUUCUAAUGAGCUUGUGUAUACGGAUUGAAAACGACUCAUUCAGCUGCAUGCUGGAUAACCCCUUUUCAGUUAAGCCCUUUUUUUUGUUCAGUUUUUAUUGACUCGAGGAAAACAGAAGUAUAUUAUAACACGUCUAUUUCACUAGUAUUUUUAGAUUUGCUCUGGUGCAAGAAAUUCUGACAAGUAGACAGAGUAUAUAAUAUCCAGAUGCAUUCGCUGUUCCAGUAUUGAUUUUUUUUUUCAGAUUUUAUUUUAAAUUGUAUCACCCAAGUUUUAGUUUUUCAUAUGUAUGUAUCUCAUGAUAAGAUUACCUGAAUCAUUAAAAACUGCUUGGAUUCAAUCUCCAUUAUUGAAGCAUCCAUUUGUGAUGAGCUUUUAAAUCUAUCCAAGAUUAAUCAAUUUAAGCACCUACAAGAUCGGAUUCUAUCAAGCCUAUAAAGGAGUAGAUGAAUCAAUCAACAGCUGGUAACGGCAGCAACAUCUUUACGCUACAAGAAUUCUUCACGUUACAAGGAUUCUAUUAGACAACAGCUAUAAAAAACUUGGAUGACCUACUACUCAUCAAGAUAUAGCACUCAUUUAGAGCAUUUUCAUCAGCUAUUUCACUUACACAACAGAUUUUUCAACUGAAUUUAACAAACUAAUUUCAAGUGGGCCCCACCACAGCGCCACCUCAGCCGAAACAUGUUUUCCCUUUUAACAGCCAAAUAACUAACUACUGAAAAAGCUUGAAUCAAUCAUUUUUAUCAAAUUUGAUUUCUCAUACUGAUCGUGUAAGAAUAUUUUUCAAUCACGUGUCUUGAAAAUAUUUUGAUGGAAAAUUAUUGACUAUUCCUUUGUCUCUUUGGCACAAAAGAAUUGAUCAUUAUCAAUUCUUUUGUGUGGGAAUGUGUAGUCCUCAUUAUAAAUUUUCGAAAACCAUGCUAAACGUUUUAAGGAUAUCGAAAUAUUAGAAAAUUGAUGGUAAAUUUGCAAGGAUGUCGCUGUUCAUAACUGAUAUUUGAUGAUUGAUGUGCUCUUAAUUUAAAUAUUAUUUUAAUAUUUUUCUAACUUAAUUUUAUAAUAAAAUUUAUUUUAUUAUGUUAAUUUUUUUUAUUUUGUUAGUGUAGAUAUAUCUUGGGAAUAAGAAGAAAUCAAUUGGAGCUUAAAGAAUAAUGGAGUACAAAACUAAUACCUUAUGGAAACAAAUAUUUGAUUGUCAAUUUUGCCAAACACAUGAGAAGUCAAACCGUGAGCAUGAAUUUAAAAGAAGAAAAAAAGGGGAAUGACUUCCAAGUUUAAGUUAUUCAAGUGGAGUGCACUAAAGGAUUAAUUGAUAAAUUAAAAUGGCAAGCAUGUGGUGGGCUUUUUGGACAAAUCCUUACUGGCUUAGCAAUUAUAAAGUUGUUUUGAUUUAAGGAUUGACCAUACCAAACAAGCACUUGGAGGACAAAGAUUAUUAUAUAAAGAGAUGAAAAACUGAGAACAAAAGAAUUCAAAAGAGAAGCAACCGUAGAAUUUUAUCGAAGCCGAGAGAAGAGAAGAGCUGCAAGAGAUCCAGAGAUAAGCCGAGAUUAAUUCUUGAGUUUUGCAAUAUUUUUAAAACAUUCUGGUCUUGCCUUAACAUUUCACCUCUCAUAGAACCACUUCUUUUGGAGCUGCAGGAAUACACUCCGCUUCCUCUUCCCCAAUCUAAUGCCCCCUUCAACCCUCGGAGUUAAACGAAAUCCUUCAUUGUAUAAAACUAAGCUCUCUGAAAAGUUCACCAUAUCUAGUGUAACUUCAUUAUCACCAAUCUCGAGAUGUUUAAAAGCCAGUUCAUUAAGGUCAUAAGAAACCAGCUCUCCACUAAUCAUUAACAUUCCAAAGUCACUAUUGUUGACAAUGCCUAAUGGCCUUACAAUUCUUUCCUCUGGCACAAUCGAGUAUUGUUUAGUCCAAGACUCCACCAUGCCAUACUCCCUCAUCACCCAAAUGUAACAGCCCUCGAUUAGUCUAAGAUUGCUGAUGCUGCAAACAAUCAGGGCAAGUGAUUCUCUUAACACGGCCACAGAAACUUGAGGCCUUUCUCCUUCGCCAUAUUCAUGAUACAUUGGAAGCAUUAUCUCUCCAAACUUCUCAGAAUCAAAAUCAAACAACAGGACAACAUUUGCAGAGGAUUCUUCUCCGGUUUAGAGGCAAAAAAAUGGACAGCUUCAUUGAGAAAUGCUGAUGAAAAUGUAUCAUUUGCAUAGUAUCCAGCAUUAUUUCCAAUUGUUCUCCAUGAAUUCGUUGCUAGCGAAUAUACCUCAACUCUUGGUGGUUUUUUUUCAACAUAUAAUGGCAUAUAAACAUCUCCAAAAUACAUUAUCCUUACAUUAUUUGAGGAUGAUUAUUUGGAAAAUGGAUUAAUUUGAGGAUUAUUAUUAUUUUUUUUUUUUGGAAAUGGAUUAUUUUGCUGAUGAUGAUGAAUCUGAUUAUGAUGAUUAUUAUUUUUGAAAUGGAUUAUUAUUUUGCUAAUGAUGAUCUUUUAUUUUGAUUAUUAUUAAUUUUAUUAUUAUUAUUAAUGAUAAAUUAUAAUUAAUUAAUACACUAAGAACAUAUGAAUAUAAUUAAUCAAUAUAUUAACAAUAAUUAAUAAUAAUAAUAAUAAUAACAAUUAACAAUAUUAUUAUUAUGAUAAAAAAAGAAAUAUAAUUAAUUAAUAUAACAACAACAACAAUGAUAAUAAUAGUUAUUAUUAUAAUUAAUUAAGGGUACUUUAAUAAUUUAAAACAAUUCAACUCAUUCCGAUUAUGAUUUUUACAGCUUAAGUAAAUAAUUUAUUCUAAUUGUCAUUCCCUAUUCCGAUUCAAGUUUAUUCCGAUUCUAGGCCAUUCCGAUUACUGACAAAUAAACGCAGUAUUUAUUGCUAACAAGUGGCAUAAUUAAAGAGGAAUUAAAAUAUUUAUAUCAUCUUAUAGUUAUCGUUUCAGUUUUGAUUUUAAAUGAUUAGGGAAUAGAUGACUGGAUACUUAAAGAAGAGUUAGAACAUUUUUAUUUUAUGUAUAGUACUUGAAAUUUCUCUACUGACUGUAUCUUCAACUUGUUCAUGUGCAUAUAGCACUACAGCUGGUAGAAACUAUAUAUGACUAAAGCUGGGCUUUAGUUUACUUGAAACGUUAGGAAACUAAAUGUUUAAAUUUAUAUUUAAAAAAAAUGAUGCAAGAUUUAAAAAGUUAAACAUUACCUCAAAUGCAUAGGUUUUAAUAUUUUUCCGAGUGUCACGCGCAUAUGUCAUAACCAUGCGCAUUAACUGUCACUACCGCAAAAGUUGCUGCCACAGAAGAUACUAGAAUCUUUGACGCAAAAUUAAUCACUUCAAUCUUAAAUAUAGCUGAGCCGAUGAUACAUAUACCUCAUCAAAUACUGAGGUGGAUUUAAAAUAUCAUGGACAUACUGCAAUUUAUGUGAGAUAUGAACUUAACAUAAUACAUGGGAGUUUGAACAUGGGACCAUACCAAACGUGUGGGGAAAUAUAAAACAUCUGGCGAUAAAAGGGGCCUUAAUUUAGGGACUAACAAGAUAAUCUUUAAAUGGUACAAAAUUAAUCCGUGCAAAAUAAUUUGAAAAUGCCAUCACCAAUUAUUUGGAUGUGAUUGUGGGAUGAGAUCUUGUCAUUAGCGAAGACUUGUACAAGUCGUCAGCAGAAAGGGCAGAAGUUGUUUUCAAUUUUUAAUGCCUUAUUUUGUCGUCCUUUCUCUGUUUUUAAACCUUUCCAACUUUGACUUUUGAACAAGGGGAGGCCGUCUUUUGUUUUUUUUCCUUUUCCUUCCUCUUCUACUAAUAACCAAGCAAAACAGUAACUAACAGUUUGAACAGCAUUUUCGUUUCUACAAAUUUAAAAUUACCCUGAAAAUUUUGAUACUGCAUGCAUUCGGAAAUACAUAACAACUGAAUUAAUUCGUUCAAAUUGGAAAAUAUCAUUCAAAAAUAUAAUUAGAUAAAACUCAAUCUUUAUUCUACUUCACCUCUUCACCAUUCACUUGGAUUUAGAAAGCAAGAAAUAUUUCAUGAUCUCAUCAUCUCCCUUGUGGGUCAAUGAUCUCAGAGAAGACAUCUCUACAGAGGGAUCCGCUCACAGAACAUUGUUCAUUUGAAAGAUAAGCCUCAUGACCAAACUUUCCACUCUCCUCUGCGCUCUCUUGUAGCUGAAAUGCAAACUCAAGACCACGAACCACAUCACUCAUGGAUGGCCUUUGGGCUCCAUCAUCAUUCAAGCAGCUAAUUGCAACCUCAGCAAAUUUGUUCAAGCAUUCAGCUGUUAUGUUACCUUUCAAAAGCGGAUCAACAAUCUCAUCAAUGGUUCCAUUGCGAUAACAUUGUUCAGCCCAAACAGCUAAACUCGCUUGAUUCCUUUCCAUUGUCCGAAUAAUAGGUGGUCGAGCGCACAAUGCUUCCAAUAACACAACGCCAAAUGAGUAGACAUCGGAUUUUUCCGUUAGCUGCUGAAGUCGAUAAUACUCAGGAUCUAAGUACCCGAUGCUCCCCUUCAC